Molecule: ribosomal RNA, 713 nt
Filed under: Vibrio sp. 7D09
Lineage: Bacteria; Pseudomonadati; Pseudomonadota; Gammaproteobacteria; Vibrionales; Vibrionaceae
Description: bacterial SSU rRNA
Rfam family: Bacterial small subunit ribosomal RNA
Source: RNAcentral
ACGCUGGCGGCAGGCUUAACACAUGCAAGUCGAGCGGUAACAGAAAGUAGCUUGCUACUUUGCUGACGAGCGGCGGACGGGUGAGUAAUGCCUGGGAAUAUGCCUUGAUGUGGGGGAUAACUAUUGGAAACGAUAGCUAAUACCGCAUAAUGUCUUCGGACCAAAGAGGGGGAUCUUCGGACCUCUCGCGUCAAGAUUAGCCCAGGUGAGAUUAGCUAGUUGGUGGGGUAAGAGCUCACCAAGGCGACGAUCUCUAGCUGGUCUGAGAGGAUGAUCAGCCACACUGGAACUGAGACACGGUCCAGACUCCUACGGGAGGCAGCAGUGGGGAAUAUUGCACAAUGGGCGAAAGCCUGAUGCAGCCAUGCCGCGUGUAUGAAGAAGGCCUUCGGGUUGUAAAGUACUUUCAGUCGUGAGGAAGGGUGUGCAGUUAAUAGCUGUACAUCUUGACGUUAGCGACAGAAGAAGCACCGGCUAACUCCGUGCCAGCAGCCGCGGUAAUACGGAGGGUGCGAGCGUUAAUCGGAAUUACUGGGCGUAAAGCGCAUGCAGGUGGUUCAUUAAGUCAGAUGUGAAAGCCCGGGGCUCAACCUCGGAACCGCAUUUGAAACUGGUGAACUAGAGUGCUGUAGAGGGGGGUAGAAUUUCAGGUGUAGCGGUGAAAUGCGUAGAGAUCUGAAGGAAUACCAGUGGCGAAGGCGGCCCCCUGGACA